GUAGAUGCUCAUUCCACCCCUUAUGUUUGCUUAGGCUUCAUAAACCUGGGAAUGACGCAGAGCCACUUUACGGUACCCGUUGUCCAGCCAGCCAAUAUCGCUAACGUCUUAUUGGAAUAUCGGGCACAACGUUGAGUCGGGUACCAAUCGGUUGUCUUAACCGACCUGAUCGUUACACCUGCCCUCGGGCAGGUGUUUUUUU
Molecule: small RNA, 202 nt
Filed under: Erwinia sp. JUb26
Lineage: Bacteria; Pseudomonadati; Pseudomonadota; Gammaproteobacteria; Enterobacterales; Erwiniaceae
Description: GlmZ RNA activator of glmS mRNA
Rfam family: GlmZ RNA activator of glmS mRNA
About the family: This RNA was discovered in E. coli during a large scale screen.
Source: RNAcentral